RNAcentral lists this ribosomal RNA (460 nucleotides) under uncultured bacterium. Its description in RNAcentral is "partial 16S ribosomal RNA". It matches the Rfam family "Bacterial small subunit ribosomal RNA", at positions 338 to 795 of the family's 1533-position model. The record is from RNAcentral.
CCUACGGGGUGCAGCAGUGAGGAAUAUUGGUCAAUGGCCGGAAGGCUGAACCAGCCAUGCCGCGUGAAGGUCAGUGCCCUAUGGGCGUUAAACUUCUUUUGUGCGGGAGCAAUAAUGGUCACGUGUGGCCAGACGAGAGUACCGUACGAAUAAGCAUCGGCUAACUCCGUGCCAGCAGCCGCGGUAAUACGGGGGAUGCAAGCGUUAUCCGGAUUUAUUGGGUUUAAAGGGUGCGUAGGCUGUGAGGUAAGUCAGCGGUGAAAUGCCCCCGCUCAACGGGGUGAAGUGCCAUUGAUACUGGCUUGCUGGAAUGCGGAUGCCGUGGGAGGAAUGUGUGGUGUAGCGGUGGAAUGCAUAGAUAUCACACAGAACACCGAUUGCGAAGGCAUCUCACGAAUCCGCGAUUGACGCUGAUGCACGAAAGCGUGGGUAUCAAACAGGAUUAGAUACCCGGGUAGUC